GCGGGUAUAGUAUAGUGGCUUUUUAUGCUAGCCUUCCAAGCUGGAGAGACGGGUUCGAUUCCCGUUACCCGCUCAA
Molecule: transfer RNA, 76 nt
Filed under: Candidatus Falkowiibacteriota bacterium
Lineage: Bacteria; Candidatus Falkowiibacteriota
Description: tRNA-Gly
Rfam family: tRNA
About the family: Transfer RNA (tRNA) molecules are approximately 80 nucleotides in length. Their secondary structure includes four short double-helical elements and three loops (D, anti-codon, and T loops). Further hydrogen bonds mediate the characteristic L-shaped molecular structure. tRNAs have two regions of fundamental functional importance: the anti-codon, which is responsible for specific mRNA codon recognition, and the 3' end, to which the tRNAs corresponding amino acid is attached (by aminoacyl-tRNA synthetases). tRNAs cope with the degeneracy of the genetic code in two manners: having more than one tRNA (with a specific anti-codon) for a particular amino acid; and 'wobble' base-pairing, i.e. permitting non-standard base-pairing at the 3rd anti-codon position.
Source: RNAcentral